CCUUCAGGGUGCUGGAAGGAGGCCGUCUCAGGUACGCUUCCUGGGCACUAUGAUGUCACAGACACACAGCAUUUCCAGCCCUCUAAAGGAAAGAGGAUGAGGCUCCACCUUGCCAGGAAGAGGAAUCUGUCAGGCAGGCUGAGAACAAGCACCCUACAAGGGGACCCAUGA
This 171-nucleotide long non-coding RNA is filed under the name Fukomys damarensis (Damara mole-rat). RNAcentral describes it as "lncRNA (ENSFDAG00000026374.1)". The record is from RNAcentral. Lineage: Eukaryota; Metazoa; Chordata; Mammalia; Rodentia; Bathyergidae.